GAUGAACGCUGGCGGCGUGCCUAAUACAUGCAAGUCGAGCGAACGGAUAAGGAGCUUGCUCCUUUGAAGUUAGCGGCGGACGGGUGAGUAACACGUGGGUAACCUACCUAUAAGACUGGAAUAACUUCGGGAAACCGGAGCUAAUGCCGGAUAACAUUUGGAACUGCAUGGUUCUAAAGUAAAAGAUGGUUUUGCUAUCACUUAUAGAUGGACCCGCGCCGUAUUAGCUAGUUGGUAAGGUAACGGCUUACCAAGGCAACGAUGCGUAGCCGACCUGAGAGGGUGAUCGGCCAAACUGGAACUGAGACACGGUCCAGACUCCUACGGGAGGCAGCAGUAGGGAAUCUUCCGCAAUGGACGAAAGUCUGACGGAGCAACGCCGCGUGAGUGAUGAAGGUUUUCGGAUCGUAAAACUCUGUUAUUAGGGAAGAACAAAUGUGUAAGUAACUGUGCACAUCUUGACGGUACCUAAUCAGAAAGCCACGGCUAACUACGUGCCAGCCGCCGCGGUAA
Molecule: ribosomal RNA, 513 nt
Filed under: uncultured bacterium
Lineage: Bacteria
Description: partial 16S ribosomal RNA
Rfam family: Bacterial small subunit ribosomal RNA
Source: RNAcentral